GGAAAUAUUUACUAUAAAAGAGAAAAAACAACAACAGCAGCGAGCAGCGUAAAGUGCGAAAAUGAAUUGCGCUCAGCAAAAUGCGAAUUAAAUAAUCCAUCACAAUGCGCCAUACAAACUGACGCACAUGUAAACAAACAUAAAACUACAACACAACAGGUUAUACAAUUCAUGGACAAACUUGAAGUGGUCGCAGUCACUGCUGCUGCUGCUGCGAUGAUUCAUCAGCGUCGACGUCAACGUCAGCGUCGUCGUUGUCGACCAUUCACCCAGUCAGACUAUGAUUGUAUGAAACUCACCUCUCGAUGUCGCAGGGAAAGGCAAACGAUGGUAUGCCGGUGAGCACCUCCUUAUCGCGAAAUCCCUCGGGGAAACUCUCGAUAAUAACGCCAGCGGGCGUCGCUGUGCCUCCUCCAUUUCGACUGAUAGUACCACGAUCAAUGCCUCGCGUGGGUUU
Molecule: long non-coding RNA, 457 nt
Organism: Drosophila nasuta
Lineage: Eukaryota; Metazoa; Arthropoda; Insecta; Diptera; Drosophilidae
Exons: 2
Source: RefSeq, a predicted model, not a curated record